Molecule: ribosomal RNA, 699 nt
Filed under: Triticum aestivum (bread wheat)
Lineage: Eukaryota; Viridiplantae; Streptophyta; Magnoliopsida; Poales; Poaceae
Description: partial small subunit ribosomal RNA
Source: RNAcentral
AUGGCGCUUACGCAGACGAAGGAGGAGGGCGACGAUUGCUAUCUCCCGCCGCCGGUGGUCAUCGGGCCCGACGAGGACGGUGUGAGAAAGGUUAUCGAGUACCGCUUAGAAGAGGGCGUGGUUUUAAAGGUGACCACGACCACCCGCUCCCGCUCUAAACUCGCCGCCAAGGAGCACCGUUCGUGGCCCAGGUUCGGCGACGCCGCCAACGACGACGGCGCCACCUUCCGCUCACGUAAUCCGCACCCAAACGUGCUCUCCUCACAUGAAGUCUUCCUUGAUCGCCGAGAUGGUUCCGUGGUUUGCAGGACCUGCAAGAAGGGCUACCACUGGACGUCAAGGUGCCCAUACAGUGACCUUUAUUCCCAGCUGGAAGCCUUGGAUGAGCAGCCGAAACCCGCGUGUGAAGGAGGUCGCUCCGCUGCAUACGUGAGGCGGAGGAACCACGACAACACCGUCCGCGUGGACAAUCUUUCGGAGCAAGCCCGUGAUCCAGACCUUCUGGAGCUGUAUGGCGCGGUUGGCCCGGUUCGCCGCGCACAUGUCGUCGUGGAUCGCAGGACGGGAUCUAGCAAGGGGUUUGGAUUCGUAGAGUUCGUCCGCAGGGCAGAUGCUGAAAAGGCUAUCCGCACCCUCGAUCGUUACGGCUACGAUCACCUCAUCAUCCGUGUGGAGCGACCAGAACGACGCGUCGGCUGA